GCCGGAGUGGCGGAACUGGCAGACGCGGCGGACUCAAAAUCCGUUGUCCUUUACGGGACUUGUGGGUUCAACUCCCUCCUCCGGCA
RNAcentral lists this transfer RNA (86 nucleotides) under Caldifarciminota bacterium. RNAcentral describes it as "tRNA-Leu". It matches the Rfam family "tRNA". From Rfam's summary of the family: Transfer RNA (tRNA) molecules are approximately 80 nucleotides in length. Lineage: Bacteria; Pseudomonadati; Caldifarciminota. RNAcentral also lists the same sequence under 2 other names. The record is from RNAcentral.